RNAcentral lists this ribosomal RNA (169 nucleotides) under uncultured bacterium. Its description in RNAcentral is "partial 16S ribosomal RNA". It matches the Rfam family "Bacterial small subunit ribosomal RNA", at positions 338 to 524 of the family's 1533-position model. The record is from RNAcentral.
CCUACGGGAGGCAGCAGUAGGGAAUCUUGCGCAAUGGGCGAAAGCCCGACGCAGCCAUGCCGCGUGAAUGAUGAAGGUCUUAGGAUUGUAAAAUUCUUUCACCGGGGAAGAUAAUGACGAUACCCGGAGAAGAAGCCCCGGCUAACUUCGUGCCAGCAGCCGCGGUAAU